This is a non-coding RNA of Acanthosepion pharaonis, 109 nucleotides long. The record is from the annotation of a GenBank genome assembly. Lineage: Eukaryota; Metazoa; Mollusca; Cephalopoda; Sepiida; Sepiidae.
GCCUCAUCACAUUGAAACACCAGUUCCCAUACAAUCACCAAAGUUAAGCAACAUCGAGCCUUGACUGUACUUAUAUGGGUGACCACUUGAGAAUACCAGGUGCUGCAAG